UUUAUGGAGAGUUUGAUCCUGGCUCAGGAUGAACGCUGGCGGCGUGCCUAAUACAUGCAAGUCGAGCGAACGGACGAGAAGCUUGCUUCUCUGAUGUUAGCGGCGGACGGGUGAGUAACACGUGGAUAACCUACCUAUAAGACUGGGAUAACUUCGGGAAACCGGAGCUAAUACCGGAUAAUAUUUUGAACCGCAUGGUUCAAAAGUGAAAGACGGUCUUGCUGUCACUUAUAGAUGGAUCCGCGCUGCAUUAGCUAGUUGGUAAGGUAACGGCUUACCAAGGCAACGAUGCAUAGCCGACCUGAGAGGGU
Molecule: ribosomal RNA, 311 nt
Filed under: Staphylococcus aureus
Lineage: Bacteria; Bacillati; Bacillota; Bacilli; Caryophanales; Staphylococcaceae
Description: bacterial SSU rRNA
Rfam family: Bacterial small subunit ribosomal RNA
Source: RNAcentral